This 25-nucleotide small RNA is filed under the name Bombyx mori (domestic silkworm). RNAcentral's name for it is "ovarian small RNA-31840". Lineage: Eukaryota; Metazoa; Arthropoda; Insecta; Lepidoptera; Bombycidae. The record is from RNAcentral.
UGACUAAAGGGAAAUGUAAACGUUA